This 1719-nucleotide ribosomal RNA is filed under the name Salmonella enterica. RNAcentral describes it as "partial 23S ribosomal RNA". It matches the Rfam family "Bacterial large subunit ribosomal RNA", at positions 1241 to 2925 of the family's 2925-position model. Lineage: Bacteria; Pseudomonadati; Pseudomonadota; Gammaproteobacteria; Enterobacterales; Enterobacteriaceae. The record is from RNAcentral. RNAcentral also lists the same sequence under 1 other name.
CUGUAAGCCUGCGAAGGUGGCCUGUGAGGGUUGCUGGAGGUAUCAGAAGUGCGAAUGCUGACAUAAGUAACGAUAAAGCGGGUGAAAAGCCCGCUCGCCGGAAGACCAAGGGUUCCUGUCCAACGUUAAUCGGGGCAGGGUGAGUCGACCCCUAAGGCGAGGCCGAAAGGCGUAGUCGAUGGGAAACGGGUUAAUAUUCCCGUACUUGGUGUUACUGCGAAGGGGGGACGGAGAAGGCUAUGUUGGCCGGGCGACGGUUGUCCCGGUUUAAGCGUGUAGGUGUGUGUUCCAGGUAAAUCCGGUUCACUUUAACACUGAGGCGUGACGACGAGGCACUACGGUGCUGAAGCAACAAAUGCCCUGCUUCCAGGAAAAGCCUCUAAGCAUCAGGUAACAUCAAAUCGUACCCCAAACCGACACAGGUGGUCAGGUAGAGAAUACCAAGGCGCUUGAGAGAACUCGGGUGAAGGAACUAGGCAAAAUGGUGCCGUAACUUCGGGAGAAGGCACGCUGACACGUAGGUGAAGUGAUUUACUCAUGGAGCUGAAGUCAGUCGAAGAUACCAGCUGGCUGCAACUGUUUAUUAAAAACACAGCACUGUGCAAACACGAAAGUGGACGUAUACGGUGUGACGCCUGCCCGGUGCCGGAAGGUUAAUUGAUGGGGUCAGCGCAAGCGAAGCUCCUGAUCGAAGCCCCGGUAAACGGCGGCCGUAACUAUAACGGUCCUAAGGUAGCGAAAUUCCUUGUCGGGUAAGUUCCGACCUGCACGAAUGGCGUAAUGAUGGCCAGGCUGUCUCCACCCGAGACUCAGUGAAAUUGAACUCGCUGUGAAGAUGCAGUGUACCCGCGGCAAGACGGAAAGACCCCGUGAACCUUUACUAUAGCUUGACACUGAACAUUGAGCCUUGAUGUGUAGGAUAGGUGGGAGGCUUUGAAGUGUGGACGCCAGUCUGCAUGGAGCCGACCUUGAAAUACCACCCUUUAAUGUUUGAUGUUCUAACGUGGACCCGUUACCCGGGUUGCGGACAGUGUCUGGUGGGUAGUUUGACUGGGGCGGUCUCCUCCUAAAGAGUAACGGAGGAGCACGAAGGUUGGCUAAUCCUGGUCGGACAUCAGGAGGUUAGUGCAAUGGCAUAAGCCAGCUUGACUGCGAGCGUGACGGCGCGAGCAGGUGCGAAAGCAGGUCAUAGUGAUCCGGUGGUUCUGAAUGGAAGGGCCAUCGCUCAACGGAUAAAAGGUACUCCGGGGAUAACAGGCUGAUACCGCCCAAGAGUUCAUAUCGACGGCGGUGUUUGGCACCUCGAUGUCGGCUCAUCACAUCCUGGGGCUGAAGUAGGUCCCAAGGGUAUGGCUGUUCGCCAUUUAAAGUGGUACGCGAGCUGGGUUUAGAACGUCGUGAGACAGUUCGGUCCCUAUCUGCCGUGGGCGCUGGAGAACUGAGGGGGGCUGCUCCUAGUACGAGAGGACCGGAGUGGACGCAUCACUGGUGUUCGGGUUGUCAUGCCAAUGGCACUGCCCGGUAGCUAAAUGCGGAAGAGAUAAGUGCUGAAAGCAUCUAAGCACGAAACUUGCCCCGAGAUGAGUUCUCCCUGAGACUUAAAGUCUCCUGAAGGAACGUUGAAGACGACGACGUUGAUAGGCCGGGUGUGUAAGCGCAGCGAUGCGUUGAGCUAACCGGUACUAAUGAACCGUGAGGCUUAACCUUACAACGCCGAAG